CCUACGGGUGGCAGCAGUGAGGAAUAUUGGUCAAUGGACGAGAGUCUGAACCAGCCAAGUAGCGUGAAGGAUGACUGCCCUAUGGGUUGUAAACUUCUUUUAUAUGGGAAUAAAAUGUUCCACGUGUGGGAUUUCGUAUGUACCAUAUGAAUAAGGAUCGGCUAACUCCGUGCCAGCAGCCGCGGUAAUACGGAGGAUCCGAGCGUUAUCCGGAUUUAUUGGGUUUAACGGGAGCGUAGGUGGGUUUUUAAGUCAGUUGUGAAAGUUUGGGGCUCAACCGUAGAAUUGCAGUUGAAACUGGCAGUCUUGAGUACAGUAGAGGCAGGCGGAAUUCGUGGUGUAGCGGUGAAAUGCAUAGAUAUCACGAAGAACUCCGAUGGCGAAGGCAGCUCACUGGACUGCAACUGACGCUGAGGCACGAAAGUGUGGGGAUCAAACAGGAUUAGAUACCCCUGUAGUC
This 460-nucleotide ribosomal RNA is filed under the name uncultured bacterium. RNAcentral describes it as "partial 16S ribosomal RNA". It matches the Rfam family "Bacterial small subunit ribosomal RNA", at positions 338 to 795 of the family's 1533-position model. The record is from RNAcentral.